UAUGUGUGUAUAUCUGGCAGAAACGUUAGCACGCCGGGCGAAAUGCGUAGCCGUAUUUCGUCUGCCGUUACGUUCUGAGUUCAAACUCCGCCGAGGUCGAUUUUGCCUUUCAUCCUUUCGGGGUCGAUAAAUUAAGUAAAAGUUACGCACUGGGGUCGAUGUAAUC
Molecule: long non-coding RNA, 166 nt
Filed under: Octopus sinensis (East Asian common octopus)
Lineage: Eukaryota; Metazoa; Mollusca; Cephalopoda; Octopoda; Octopodidae
Description: uncharacterized LOC118763492
Source: RNAcentral